UGGCCUUAUGCAUCUGUGUGGAAAUGUUUGCCAUGGUUUAAAGCUUGCCCUUUGACAGUUUGCACAUUUGUCAGGAGCCUGCUAUCUGUAAGCCUGGCCGCUAUGUUUCUCUAAGCAUCACAUUCACUCUUGAAUUGUGUCUGCAGAUGGAGGUGACAUCAUGGUAUCUCACAUGGAGGUGACAUAAUAGUGUCUACAAUGGAGGUGACAUCAUGGUGUCUCUACAGGUGGAGGUGACAUCAUAGUGCCACCUACAGGUGGAGGUGACGUCAUGGUGUCUACAGAUGGAGGUGACAUGAUAGUGUCUACACUUGGAGGUGAUGUCACUGUAUCUACAAUGGAGGUGACAUCAUGGUGUCUACACAUGGAGGUGACAUGAUAGUGUCUACACAUGGAGGUGAUAUCACUGUAUCUACAAUGGAGGUGACAUCAUGGUGUCUACACAUGGAGGUGAUAUCACUGUAUCUACAAUGGAGGUGACAUCAUGGUGUCUACAGAUGGAGGUGACAUCAUUGCAUCUACAGGUGGAGGUGACAUCAUGGUGUCUACAGAUGGAGGUGACAUCAUUGCAUCUACAAUGGAGGUGACAUCAUUGCAUCUGCAGGUGGAGGUGACAUCAUGGUGUCUACAGGUGAAGGUGACAUCAUGGUGUCUACAGGUGGAGGUGACGUCAUGCCCACUUGGACAAAGGAAGAUGGAGAAGGAUAACACUGAGAUUGUACAUCUUUUUGGCUCAGACUUCCUGCUUCCUUGCUGAAGUUUUCUGUUUUUCACUUGAGUGUGCUGUCAUAGUGAAUUGAGGGGCAUUUUUAUGUCUUCUAAUUCUGUCAGAUAAUUCUCUCCCACUUGGUGUUGUCAUCUAUUGAUUGUGUUUUCAUGUAAUUUAGAUUUUCCUGGGUUUUUGCAUAAUUUUUAACCAAAUCUUGGGCAUUGUCAUAUUACAUACUAGGGCUUGGAUCCUCCUCAGGCUGCAGCUCCUCUGACUCCGUUGACAUAAUUGUCAGGGGAAUCCAGCCGUGUGUUCUUCCUGCCCGGGGGAGGUGGACAGCCAGCGUCCCCACCCAGCCCUCACUGACCUCAGCAGGCGUGUGCAUCAUGACUGCAGAGCAGGGCUGAGCUGUGGCUGGCCCCCUGGUGUCCACUGUCACUCCAGGGGCUGCCUCGUGACUGCGGGCAGUGUGGACAGUUCUGAGUCCCAGGAGGGCUGCUGGGGAGCCCUCUCAUGUGGAAAGGGGGAGCCCCCUGGUCCUGCCAUGCACUGGGUGUCCAAGUGCCCCAGGUGCUCCCCAGCAGCUCUGUGGGCUGGGUGUGGGCAUGACACUUCCAACACCCACCAGUGUUCUGUUCCCAUGCAUGUGGGGUGUUGACACUUGCCCCAGCUACAGUGUGAUUUGUCUCCUCGAAAUCAUGCACAAGUGUCAGCCCCAUAUCUUAGGAUAGUGGUGUUAGAGAACAGAGCUCAACUUGCUAGACUCUUGAGAGUGAUCCUGUAGGUCGUCAGGGAGGGACCUCCAGGUCCGAAUCAGUGGUUUCACAAGGAAGAAGAGGAAACCACAGAGACCCAGUCACAGCCACAUGUGCUUCCUGGCUCUUGCCGUGUGACACCGUGGGCCACUUGAAGCCUCUGCCAGCCAGGACAUCACUGGCAGAGGCCAAACCAGUGGGGACUGUGGGAUCUUGGACUGGGAGCUCCCAGAGUCCCGAGGCAAAGUCGAGCUCCUUUCUUUGUAAAGAGCUUGCCUUGGGUGUUUUGUUGU
Oryctolagus cuniculus (rabbit) is the source of this 1757-nucleotide long non-coding RNA. The record is from Ensembl. NCBI's taxonomy places the organism in Eukaryota, Metazoa, Chordata, Mammalia, Lagomorpha, Leporidae.